UUGAGUCAGUAGAUCCUGAGAAAUGAUUGGUGAAGAUGACUCCGGAUGUGCUUGAGUGAACACUGAUUGGUGAACUCGGGGGUCAGGAAGAGCGGCCCAGAGCGGCGAUUGGCGGCAGGUGUCCCAUGGAAACGGAACUCAUAGCUGCGGAGAGGGGCUUGCACCGGGGGCGGGGCAGGGGCUAUACAAGGCGCCUGCGCCAAAUCCUGUUCCCGGCGCCAUUUUGUCUCGGCAGCGGUGGCGGUAACUCUUUCCCAUUUUAAGCUUCGUGAGGAGAGGAGAGGAGUCUUUACCCGGUUGAUUCGUUCUUGUGGACUAGGCGUUCACCUUCCGUCCCGGGUGAGAGCACAGUGAGUGACUGAACAAAUCUGAGUUCCACCCACAAAGUUUUAUUGUAAAGAGUAUAGAAUGAGUGAACUUCAGAACCUUUGAAGAUUGUUGCAGAGAUAAUGGCAUUUUUUACAAUCUGGUGGCCUAUCCAGGAUCCAAAGCAUCAGAUCAGAGACCAAUCACCUGAAAGCAAAAUGGGUGCCCCUGCUGAUUUUCAGCGACUUCGUAGUCUGGUUGUGAUCCUUCUCCCCCUUAACCUAGAAUCCUGAGAAUUUCGCUUUCUGAAAAGUGUGACUAAACUAGUGAAAAAGGAAGGAAUGGCCAACCUAUGGGAGUCUGUGCAUAGAGCAAGGAAAAAAGGUUUGCCUUGAGCAAACUCCUCUUCAAUUUACUCUCCACCAUUAUCAGGCUGUGAUGAAGUCCUAAUUUAAGUCCUGAAAAGACUCUAAAACUGCAACCAGAAUAUAAAGGAAUAUUCCAAGUACUACUGAUAACCGAAACAGCUUCCAAACUGCUGAAAAGGGAUGGACUCAUUACACUAGAGUGAAAGGACUAAUAAAACCAACCAGAGAAUGGACAGAUGUAUCCUGAACAUUUGUGGGGGAAAGUCAUCAAAAGCUAUUAGCCCUUAAAUCUGGAUCUAUCUUUGUACUGUUUCUUGGAAUGUUUCUGAUUUCAUUCCCUAAAAUGACAGAACAUCUGAGCUUUUACUUUUAUAUGAAGAACAUGAAAACAAGAAAUUAUGGUGGCUCAUCAAAGUCAACAGAACCAGAUUUUGAAUAUGUUCAGUCAUUGAAGAAAACCAUCUUUUUUAAAGGAAGAAAUAAUCUUGUUUUUCCAAAUAGUUGAAAUGUACAGAACACAUUUAUGUUUUCAGAAAAGUGCAAAGGCUUGUAAUGCAAGAAAGUAAAUUAAAAUGUAAGACCUGUUUGAAAUUCAGCAUUUAGGAAUGACAGCAGAAAAACUAUGUUCAUGUAUUCAAGGAAUGGAUUGUAUAUUUAGUGAUUUCAAAAAGCAGUCAUAAAACUACUGACCUCUGUGGGAGAGAAGUUAGCCCCCUUACUAAAAAGAGUUUUCAGUACUAUUUACAAUGUGUUAAAAUGUUAAUAGAACUUUAAUAUUGAGGGAGCAAUAGAAUUGCAAGAAAAAGUAUUAGAGAUGCAGGGAAUUGUUUACCUACGUAAUAUAAUACCCCAAGAAUAGACACAGAUGCCACCGUGGAUAGUGCAAUCAGGAAUAUUCAAUCAAAUCCUACCUCCUAUACUUAAACUAGCUGUGUGACCCCAGGCAAGUCAUUUAGUUUUGUCUCAUGUAAAGUAGGAUAACAAUAACAUCUAAGUCAAGGAUUGUUGCAAAGAUCAGGUAAAUGCUAUUGUUACUAUUAAUAGAACAUAUUACAAAAGAAAUUAAGAUAGAAAUUGUUAUGGGAGAAAAACACAAAAAAUAUGUAAUUGACAAAAUUUCAAAAAAAAAAAAAAUAGAUUUUUUUUGCAGCCCAAUUCAGUCACCUACUGCAUGGGUAAUAUUUAUUGCUGUAAAGAAUUUGUAUUUUCAAUACAUAUUUUGUUUUCUUCUCUAUUAAAUGAUUGUGACUUAAUAAUACAUAUUUGAAAGUAAGCUUCAUUGAAUUUUGUCCUGUAAUGCUGAAAAAUAAAUUUGUUCAAAAUUUUCCUAUAAAAUAAGUUUAUUUAAAAAUAUUUCUGGAUAACAUUCAUUCUGUUUAUCACCAAUCUAAUAAAAAUAAAAUUUAUAGCUUAAAAAAUUUAAAAUUAUAAAAAUUGGAGCAGUGUUAUAGGACCAAGAUGAGUAGCAUGUAGUUUACUAACUAAUGCUACACGGUGAACACAUACUACCUUUUAUUCACAUUUUCUUAUUCAAGUUUGGCAAAUCAAUUACCUAACAUUAAUUUCUUGUAAGAUCUUGCUUUAAUAAUUAACAUUUUUGAGCCAAUUUUUAUUAUUUUCAUCCUCAUUGUAUUUAAUAUUGAGAAAGUACAAAAAUUAAUACGUACCAAAAGAACUUUGAAAAAUAUAAAAAUUGAUGCUGCAAAACUUGAAUCUCAAAAUGAAAACUUAAGUGAGACAAGUCAUUUUAAUUUCAUAAACAAAAGAAAUGUAGUGUUUUCUUAGGAAUGUUACUUGAAAAUAAUUCAACAGAUAAGCUUAAUUUUUACUAAAUAGAAAUGUUAAAAUAUUUUACUGGCCUGCUCUUAUACCACACUGUCCUGAGUCAGUAGUCCAUUUUCUACAAUUUUGAUUGCUCAGAGGAAGCUAGGUGUGGCAUCAGAGUCGGGAAGACAAGUUCAAAUGAAACCAAAUGUGGUUUCAAACACUUUCAAAUUGUGUUGUUGACUCUAUGCAAUUCAUUUAACUACUGUCUCAGUUAACUGUAAAAUGGAGAUGAUUAAAAGCACCUACCUACUUUCCUGAGUUGUUAAUAGGAACACAUGAGAUGAUAUUGUAAAGUGCUUAGCACAAUUCUUGGCAUUAUAGAUUCUUAAAAAAUGGUUGUUUUCCCUUAACCUCAAUAAGAACAUCUGAAUGAUGCCAUAGUGGGUGAGAUGUUAGACCAACUUUUAGCUAGUAAGUUAGAGAAUGAGAGUCAAAUGGUAAAUCAAUAAAGUUCUAGAAUGUAUUGUUAAAUGGGUGGUUAGCAAACAUCUAUAAUAGGAGUAAAAUAAUAGGAAAUUGAUCACAAGAAGUCUGCAUGACUCCAUCAAGAAAUAACAGCUGAAGACUAAUAAGGGACUAACUUAGUUUAAAAAUUAACCAAUUAAAUCCCCAAAGCAGUGGUUUCAAAUAAUUUCAGGAUUACUCUGUGGGUGAGUAUCACUCACAAAAGAACAAUUCUUCCAGUACCUCUGUUGAUUCUUUUUGAAAUCAGAGUCUAGGUAUUAAUGAUAUUUGUUGAACUAUUCAAUUUUCAGAAUUUAAGAAAUUUCUAUUUUGUCUGAUUUUUUUGUUGUUGUUGAAUGACAAAAAACUACUAUGAUUGGGUAGUUUCAGAAUUUAAUACUUAUUAACAAGCAGUAGUAUUGAAUUACAAUCUUAGGAGGAGGUCUCUAGUGAAGUUCCCCUUAAUCUGUCCAUAAUUUUGUGGUGUUUACAAUUUUUUCCGAAUCUAGCCCAAUAUUUCCAACCUAUCAAGAUCUUUUAAUUGCUGUCUCUUGUCAUUUAUUAUGUUACCUCUUUCAGCUUUGUAUUAAGUAUGCCAUCUAAACAUUUAUCCAGAUCAUUAAUAAAAAUGUUAAAAUCUUAAUACUUUCACAAUUCAAAAGUACAAUAUAGGAGAAUCCUAGUUUGAUGGAAAUUCAUCUGAAAAAGCUCUAAUGAUUGCAGUAGAUUUCAAGCUUAACAUAAAUUAGAUCAAAACUCAAAAAGUUAGUGAGCUAGUUCACAGACAUACUAUAAAAGGAAAGGCAGUGUCCAGAACAAAGAAAGCUAUACUUUAUCCUGAUCAGAUCAGUGUUGGUAUAUUCUGUUUAGUGAUGAAACUAGAUUUUAGGAAGGACAUUUUUUUAAAAAACAAUUUUUUGGAUGGAUUUUUUUUUUUUUUUGAGGCAAUGGAAGUUAAGUGAUUUGCCCAGAGUAACAUAGCUUGUAUGUGCUAAGUGUCUAAGGCUAAAUUUGAACUCAGUUCCUCCUGAGUCCAGGGUCAGUGCUCUAUUCACUGUGCCAUCUAGCUGCUCCUGGUAAAUUAUUUUUAAGCUGAGAAACAUCUAGAAGAAUGGCAGCAUAAUUAAGGAUUCUCAAGAUCAGACUAUUUGAAGACAUGGUUGAACAAACAAGGGAUGUAAUCUGAAUAAGAGAAAACUUAGUUGGAAAAUGGGCUAUAAGAGUUUUCUGCAGAUAUUUAAAGGGAUGUCAUAUAGAAAUGGUUCAAUAAACAUUAAGUGCCUACAAUGCUAGGCAUUAUAAGAUAUUAGGGAGACAAAAAAUAGAAAAGUUAGUCACUAUCCUCAAACAGUUUACAAUCUAAUGGGGUAGACUAUAUGGAAACAUACAGAUAAGAUCUCUACAGAAUAAAUAGGAAAUAGAGAAGGCUUUAAAGAGGUGUUGGGAAAGGAUUUUUUAUAAGUGAUAAGUAUGAAAAAGUUUUGUGGUUGCACAAAGUGGAUUGUAAAACUUAGUAUUAUCAGUGAUAGUUUUAAACAUGGAAUGAUUAUUUUUUUCUUAUGAAAUAAAUUGUAUUCUCUUGAUAACUACAAAA
Molecule: long non-coding RNA, 4539 nt
Organism: Antechinus flavipes (yellow-footed antechinus)
Lineage: Eukaryota; Metazoa; Chordata; Mammalia; Dasyuromorphia; Dasyuridae
Exons: 6
Source: RefSeq, a predicted model, not a curated record